RNAcentral lists this ribosomal RNA (369 nucleotides) under uncultured bacterium. Its description in RNAcentral is "bacterial SSU rRNA". It matches the Rfam family "Bacterial small subunit ribosomal RNA", at positions 527 to 896 of the family's 1533-position model. The record is from RNAcentral.
GUAGGCAGCAAGCGUUGUUCGGAGUUACUGGGCGUAAAGGGUGUGUAGGUGGCCCACUAAGUUCCGUGUGAAAUCUCCCGGCUCAACCGGGAGGGUGCGCGGAAAACUGGAGGGCUAGAGUGCGGGAUGGGAGAGUAGAAUUCCUGGUGUAGCGGUGAAAUGCGUAGAUAUCAGGAGGAAUACCAGUGGUGUAGACGGCUCUCUGGACCGCAACUGACACUGAGACACGAAAGCGUGGGUAGCAAACAGGAUUAGAUACCCUGGUAGUCCACGCCCUAAACGAUGCAUAUUUGGUGUAGGUCAUUCAGUUGAUCUGUGCCGGAGCUAACGCGUUAAAUAUGCCGCCUGGGGAGUACAGUCGCAAGGCUG